This 705-nucleotide long non-coding RNA is filed under the name Rattus norvegicus (Norway rat). RNAcentral describes it as "long non-coding RNA NONRATT020449". The record is from RNAcentral. Lineage: Eukaryota; Metazoa; Chordata; Mammalia; Rodentia; Muridae.
ACCUUUCCAGGUCCCCACGCCUUCCUGCUGGUCACACCACUGGGCUCUUCCUUAAAGAGUGGUGACAGUGUGUUCAGCAUCAUCAAACGUAUUUUUGGAGAAAAAUUCAUCAAGUUUACAAUUAUUCUCUUUACCAGGAAAGAAGAUUUUGAGGGUCAGGAUCUAGAUACAUUUACAAAGGAAAACGAUGCUCUCUGUAAUCUCAUCCAGAUAUUUGAAGGAAGAUACGCAGUCUUCAACUACCGGGCAACUGUGGAGGAGGAGCAGAGCCAGAACUCUUAAACAUCAUCCUCUUGGGAAGGAGUGGAGUUGGAAAGAGUGCAACUGGGAACACUAUCCUGGGGAGACCUGCCUUCGUCUCUCAGCUCAGAGCUCAGCCGGUCACCAGUAGGAGUCAGAGUGGCAGGAGGACACUGGACUGGCAGGAUAUUGUGGUUGUGGACACUCCAUCACUCAACCAGAUGUCUGGUACUGAAAAGAAUCCUGCCCAGUUAAAGAAGGAGAUCAAACAAUGUUUGCUUCAAAACUGCGAAGAAGGCAUGAAGGUUUUUGUCCUGGUAUUCCAGCUGGGACGGUUCACCCAGGAAGACGAGGCAGUGGUGGAGCAACUGGAGGCCAGUUUUGAGGAAAACAUUAUGAAAUACAUGAUUGUGCUGUUUACACGAAAGGAAGACCUAGGGGAUGGGGACCUUUAUGAUUUUACUA